This 1771-nucleotide long non-coding RNA is filed under the name Homo sapiens (human). Its description in RNAcentral is "non-protein coding lnc-AK5-1:14". The record is from RNAcentral. Lineage: Eukaryota; Metazoa; Chordata; Mammalia; Primates; Hominidae.
GAUUCAAUAUUGGAAAUAAUAAUUCCUUUUAUCUGUGAGUAUAUGAGAUAGCAUUGUUUAUAAUUUGUAUGGUUAGAAUUGUUAACCAUAGUCUGCGUUUAAACUAGAACUCAAUUUAGUUAUUCAUUAAUUUAUUAUUGAGAUAUUCAUUAAGUGAGUUAAUACAAUUUGGCAACUAAAACCAAAUAUGAGUAUUUGAUUGAUCAAAAUUACACACACACACACACACACACACACACACACACGCAUAUAUAUUUCUGGCUUCUCUAAUAAAAGUUUUUAUAACUGACCCUCACAGUAAGUCAUGCCACAAAGCCUAUCCAUGCUGUUUUUACUGUUGUUCUUCAAUCGAAUGACAACUUAAGAUUGACCCUACAGAAUCUAAGAUCACAAUUAGAUCACUCUUUAUUUUAUUCUUGCCCCCUCCUCUUACCUAUAUCCCUUCCAUAUCUUCUUUUUAAUUCUCUUUUUCCCUCUGCUUCCUUAUGCACCAGGAACACAAUUGUGUUACUCAUUCACUCAAUGAAUAUUUAUUAAGCACUAUGUACCAGGUAUUGUGCUAGGCACCAGCAAUACAGGAGAGAGCAAAAAUUGAACAAGUUCCUGGCCUUACAGAGCUCACACACAGUCCAGGGGAGCCAGACGUUAAUAAUAGAAGCAUUUAUAGAAAUGUAAAAUUCUAAUAGGAGACCAUUUAAGAAAAAUCAGAGUAAGUUUCUCUGAGGAAAUGGACUGAGCUGAAAUUAAUGAGUUAAUGAGGUAGAUACGGAGAAGAAGGAAGAGCUUUCAAGGCAGAGGAAACAGCCCUUCCAAAGACGUGUGGCAUAACAGAGCUUGGCUUAUUAGAGGAACUUACAGAAUUACACUGGUCUUGCAGUUCAGAAAACAAAGGGGAGAGUGCUAAAUUGCUAAGGGGAGAGGCUGAAUUGCUAAGCAGGUACCACCUCUCUCCAUGGACUUGUGGGUCAGGUUAGAUUUUGGUCUGUAUCCUAAGGGCAAAAGAAAGCAUCACAGUGGGAAAGAUUAUGUUGCUUCCAAUGAGGAGAACUGGGAAAUGCUUUAGGUACAGCAUUUAAAAGGCCACUGCCACAGUCCAGGCAAUGGUAGCUUAGACCAGAGUGUUAAGAGUGGAGAUGAAAAGUGGAGGGAACCAAUAGGGAUUUUAGAAUUACAACUCAAAGAACAUGAUGAUGGAUUAUAUUUGGGAAGUAAGAGAGAGGACAAUUUCAAGGACGACUUUUAAAUAUCUGGCUUGUACAACUGAAUGCAUGGCAGUGCCAUUUUUUAAAGCAUAGGAACCACAGGAAGUGGAGCAGGUUUAGGAUUUAUAUACAAGUGAAGUCUGGUUUAAAUAUUUAUCCAGAGCUAUUUGAAAGGAAAAUUUACAUAAACCUAUUAUAAAUACUUUUGUGACUGCUAAAUAAAUGUUGUUACAAAAUAAAAUAAGUGGAAAAGAUACAUUUAAUCAGGAUAAGAAUAUAGACCCUGAGAGAGAUUUUACAAUAUAUUUAAUACUAUAUAUUGCUAUAGGCAAUUCUGUUUGCUACAAAAAUCUGUGCCAAAACUAUUUUAUGGAAGCAUUUCAUAUCUAACAGUCAAAAUGUUUUUGGGGGCCGGACAUGGUGGCACACACCUAUAAUCCCAGCACUUUGGAAGGACAAAGCGGGUGGAUCACUUGAGGUCAGGAGUUCAAGACCAGCCCGGCCAACAUGAUGAAACCCCAUCUCUACUAAAAAUACAAAACUUAGCCAGGCAUGGUCGUGGGUGCCUG